Molecule: ribosomal RNA, 468 nt
Filed under: uncultured bacterium
Lineage: Bacteria
Description: partial 16S ribosomal RNA
Rfam family: Bacterial small subunit ribosomal RNA
Source: RNAcentral
GACGAACGCUGGCGGCGUGCUUAACACAUGCAAGUCAAACGGAAAGGCCCUGCUUUUGUGGGGUGCUCGAGUGGCGAACGGGUGAGUAACACGUGAGUAACCUGCCCUUGACUUUGGGAUAACUUCAGGAAACUGGGGCUAAUACCGGAUAGGAGCUCCUGCUGCAUGGUGGGGGUUGGAAAGUUUCGGCGGUUGGGGAUGGACUCGCGGCUUAUCAGCUUGUUGGUGGGGUAGUGGCUUACCAAGGCUUUGACGGGUAGCCGGCCUGAGAGGGUGACCGGCCACAUUGGGACUGAGAUACGGCCCAGACUCCUACGGGAGGCAGCAGUGGGGAAUAUUGUACAAUGGGCGGAAGCCUGAUGCAGCAACGCCGCGUGCGGGAUGACGGCCUUCGGGUUGUAAACCGCUUUCGCCUGUGACGAAGCGUGAGUGACGGUAAUGGGUAAAGAAGCACCGGCUAACUACGUG